UAAUGCACAUAUUCAAUUCUCUACAUGUGACACACAUUGAGGAAGCACAGGGUUCAACCCCAUAGCCAGAAGCAACCAUCUCCACACUUACCCACUGCUAAUGUAUGUUUCUCUCCUCAACAUGAGGUGUUUGUGUUUGAUUCUCUGCAUUCUGACAGGACAAUGGCUACUGACUUCAUGUCUGCAGGUCAUACAGGUCCAUCAGAACCCAGAGAACCUGAUUCUUUCUCCUGGAUCAUCACUGAGCAUCUCCUGCUCUAUAACUGGUACGAACAACCCGUAUCUUUACUGGUACCACUGGAAUGAAACAGCAGGAUUCACAUUGAUCUUCACCUCUCGAAUUACUGGUUCAGUGAAUCCAGCCAGUGAGGGUCAGUUUAAAUCUCACAGACCUAAAGACCUUCAGAUCAUUCUGGAGUCUGAUGGAGUGAGUGAGAUCGGCUCUGCAGCGUGGUACUGUGCAGCCAGACCCCACAGCAUCACAGUGUCAUCACAGAGCUGUACAAAAACCAAAAUGUCUCAUUAAACUUGGGUUUCUCAAAUGCACAGCUUUGUGUGCAUUUUACAUUAUUGA
This is a non-coding RNA of Neoarius graeffei (lesser salmon catfish), 574 nucleotides long. The record is from the annotation of a RefSeq genome assembly. NCBI's taxonomy places the organism in Eukaryota, Metazoa, Chordata, Actinopteri, Siluriformes, Ariidae.